AAUCUUCCACAAUGGACGAAAGUCUGAUGGAGCAACGCCGCGUGAGCGAAGAAGGUUUUCGGAUCGUAAAGCUCUGUUGCGAGGGAAGAACAAGCACGGGAGUAACUGCCUGUACCUUGACGGUACCGCGUCAGAAAGCCACGGCUAACUACGUGCCAGCAGCCGCGGUAAUACGUAGGGAGCAAGCGUUGUCCGGAAUUAUUGGGCGUAAAGCGCGCACAGGCGGUCCUUUAAGUCUGAUGAGAAAGCCCGCGGCUCAACCGUGGAGGGUCAUUGGAAACUGGAGGACUUGAGUACAGAAGAGGAAAGCGGAAUUCCACGUGUAGCGGUGAAAUGCAUAGAGAUGUGGAAGAACACCAGUGGCGAAGGCGGCUUUCUGGUCUGUAACUGACGCUGAGGCGCGAAAGCGUGGGGAACAAACA
RNAcentral lists this ribosomal RNA (422 nucleotides) under uncultured bacterium. RNAcentral describes it as "partial 16S ribosomal RNA". It matches the Rfam family "Bacterial small subunit ribosomal RNA", at positions 360 to 774 of the family's 1533-position model. The record is from RNAcentral.